Molecule: ribosomal RNA, 423 nt
Filed under: uncultured bacterium
Lineage: Bacteria
Description: partial 16S ribosomal RNA
Rfam family: Bacterial small subunit ribosomal RNA
Source: RNAcentral
AAUCUUCCGCAAUGGACGAAAGUCUGACGGAGCAACGCCGCGUGAGUGAAGAAGGUUUUCGGAUCGUAAAACUCUGUUGGUAGGGAAGAACAAGUUAGGUAGUAACUGGCCUAACCUUGACGGUACCUAACCAGAAAGCCACGGCUAACUACGUGCCAGCAGCCGCGGUAAUACGUAGGUGGCAAGCGUUGUCCGGAUUUAUUGGGCGUAAAGCGCUCGCAGGCGGUCUUUUAAGUCUGAUGUGAAAGCCCACGGCUUAACCGUGGAGGGUCAUUGGAAACUGGAGGACUUGGGUGCAGAAGAGGAGAGUGGAAUUCCAUGUGUAGCGGUGAAAUGCGUAGAGAUAUGGAGGAACACCAGUGGCGAAGGCGACUCUCUGGUCUGUAACUGACGCUGAGGAGCGAAAGCGUGGGUAGCGAACAG